RNAcentral lists this ribosomal RNA (545 nucleotides) under uncultured Microcoleus sp. RNAcentral describes it as "bacterial SSU rRNA". It matches the Rfam family "Bacterial small subunit ribosomal RNA", at positions 642 to 1184 of the family's 1533-position model. Lineage: Bacteria; Bacillati; Cyanobacteriota; Cyanophyceae; Oscillatoriales; Microcoleaceae. The record is from RNAcentral.
CGGCCGCGUCGACGGCAGAGGGAAUUCCUGGUGUAGCGGUGAAAUGCGUAGAGAUCAGGAAGAACAUCGGUGGCGAAGGCGCUCUGCUGGACCAUAACUGACACUCAGGGACGAAAGCUAGGGGAGCGAAUGGGAUUAGAUACCCCAGUAGUCCUAGCCGUAAACGAUGGAUACUAGGUGUUGUCUGUAUCGACCCGGACAGUGCCGUAGCUAACGCGUUAAGUAUCCCGCCUGGGGAGUACGCACGCAAGUGUGAAACUCAAAGGAAUUGACGGGGGCCCGCACAAGCGGUGGAGUAUGUGGUUUAAUUCGAAGCAACGCGAAGAACCUUACCAGGUCUUGACAUCCCGCUGCCCGCCUUAGAGAUAAGGCUUUCCCUUCGGGGACAGCGGUGACAGGUGUGCAUGGUUGUCGUCAGCUCGUGUCGUGAGAUGUUGGGUUAAAUCCCGCAACGAGCGCAACCCUUGAUCUUAGUUGCCAGCAUUCAGUUGGGCACUCUAAGGUGACUGCCGGUGACAAACCGGAGGAAGGUGGGGAUGUAACCG